Molecule: long non-coding RNA, 5405 nt
Filed under: Olea europaea subsp. europaea
Lineage: Eukaryota; Viridiplantae; Streptophyta; Magnoliopsida; Lamiales; Oleaceae
Source: RNAcentral
AUGAUGGGUCACUAUCACUGAAAUUCAAGGAAGAGAUUAAAAACAAACAAAAAAACAAAAAAAAACAAAAAGCCACCAAAAUUAGAUGUGGACAUGUGAUCCCUCUUCAUCUGUGGCCAGGAUUGACCAUUCCAUGCCAGAAAAAUGUACAUGGAAGCACUGGUUUCUUUGAACCCCUUCCCCAUCCCAACCCAUAAUUUUUCCUUGGCAUUCUAAACCUUUUUUUAAUCUUUAGCAAUAAGAUGAAGAUGGGCUUUACUGAAUUCAAGCUUUCCCUUUCAAGAGGUACAAUCGUUUUUAUUUGUUUAAUUUAUUUAAUUAAUAUUUCGUUUCCUUAUUAAUUUAGUUUCCUUACUAACUUAGGUCUCUUUGUAAUAUAUUAAAUCAUUGUAAACCCUAAUUCCUUUUUAGUGGCUCAAUUGUUUUUCUCUUCUUCUUUCUCCUUCUUUGAUUCUCUAUAUGUGAUUGAUUCUAUAGAUUAGAUUAUAUGUUAUCAUGGUAUCAGAGCCAAAAACAUAUGUGUUGAGUUUGUUAUUUUCAUUCAAUCCAUUCUCAAGCAAUUCAUGUCACCAAAAUAAUAGAAAACCCUAAUUUUCCCUUGAGCCGCGAUUGAAAAUAUACGAUAUCUUUCAAAUUAAACCUCCGUUCGACGAUUGGUGACCAUAUUUGGAUUUCACACAAUGAGACAAUCCUACCUGAUCGGCGCGUGUGUAACCACGCGCUCUAUUCCGGAGGCGCGUGAACAGAAGUUGCAGGGGUUUUGGAAGCGCGUGAGGGCGCGUGAGACACUUUCUGGCGACAGUUCAACGGGACAGUUUCUUCCUUGAUGAGUUUCUGACAUUUUGGUGGUAUUUGUUUGGUCAUAAGUGCACUGUACGGUAUAUUCCGGUGGUAGUUCUUGUUGGUACGUUGGUCAUUGUUGAGUUUCUUGGAAUUUGCUGAUUUCUUUUGAUUAGUAGUUGAUUAUUUAUUGAUUUCAUGAUGGCAACUGAAAGGGAUGAUUCAUUUCAAUCCAUUAGUGUUAGAUUAAAUGGUAAAAAUUACUCAUAUUGGAGUACUGUGAUGAGGAAUUUUGUAAAAGGAAAACGAUUGUGGGGUUAUGUUAGUGGAACUAUCGUGAAACCUGAGACCACUGUUGAGAAUUAUGUGAUAGAGUUAGAUAAUUGGGAGUCAAACAAUGCAAAAAUUCUCACUUGAAUUCAUAAUUCUGUUGAACAAUCUAUUGGUACACAGUCAGCUAAGUUUGAAACAACGAAAGAAGUUUGGGAUCACUUACAGAAGUUAUACACUAAGUCUAAUUUUGCAAAAUGAUAUCAGUUGGAGAUUGAUAUACGAGCCUUACAACAGAAGGAUAUGAGUAUUCUUGAAUUUUAUGCUACUAUGAAUUCAAUUUGGGAUGAGUUGGCUCUUACAGAAUAAGCGAGAUUGAAAGCAUGUGAGGACUAUAUUACUUUUAGAGAGGAACAACGAUUAGUUCAAUCUUUGAUGGCACUUCGCAGUGAUUUUGAGGGACUUAGAGGCUCUAUCUUACACCGCACUCCACUUCCAUCAAUUGAUUCGGUGGUUAGUGAACUUGUAGUUGAAGAAACACAUUUGAAAUCUCUUGCAGGAGAAGUAUCCCUUCUUCCAUUUCCCUUCUUCCAUCUAGCACUUCAAUGUUGGCUGUACCUUCUCGAUCAUCCACACAGAAUCAAAACAAAGGUUAUGUGCGAGUUGCUAGUGAUGAGUGUAACUUUUGCAAACAAAAGGGACAUUGGAAAUCUCAAUGUCCCAAGCUAUUGAAGAAGCAGCAGCCACAACCACGACAGUGAUCAUAUCAUCCCAAUGCCAAUGUAGCUGCUACCAUGCCAUCUAAUGACUCGUCUAUACUUGGAGCACCACCUUCUUCUAGUCCCAUGUUGACUGAUUUAGCAGAGCAGUUUCAAAAGUUCUUAGCCACACAGCCACAUGCUAUGUCAGCCUCUACUCAUAUAGGUUUGUCAUCUCAGAGUCACUCAGGUAUUUCUUCCUCGUGGAUAUUUGAUUCUGGUGCUUCCAAACACAUUUCAUCUAACUCAAAACUCUUUAAUGACUUGCAUCCUUCUAACUCGUCUACUUCUGUUAUGACUGUCGAUGGCACAUCAUUGCCUUUAGUAGGUGUUGGUUCUGUUAACACACAAAAAUUAUCACUUUCAGACGUUUAUUAUGUUCCAACUCUUACCUUAAAUCUUAUUUCUAUUGGCCAAUUGUGUGAUUCUGGAUAUUUAGUUCAAUUUUCUUCUACUGCUUGUUAUGUGCAGGAUCCUCGAUCUCAGAAGCUGAUUGGGAUAGGCCAUAGACAAGGAGGGUUAUAUGUUCUGGACAAUCUGAGACUACCAUAUGUUGCAGCCUCCAGUGUUGACUUGUCAUCUUUUUCUUUGAAUUCAUCGUCUUCUAGUUUUUAUUUGUGGCAUUCUCGCCUUGGACAUGUUUCCGCUAGUUGUUUGAAAUUUUUAGUUUCUAAGGGUCAUUUGGAAAAUUUGCAAACUCAUGACAUUUCUGAUUGUAGUGGUUGCAAAUUAGCUAAAUUUUCAGCUUUACCUUUUCCUCGUAGUGUUUCUCAUUCUGUUGCACCAUUUGAUCUUAUUCACUCUGAUGUGUGGGGACCUGCUCCUAUUACCACAAAAGGAGGAUCUAGAUAUUAUGUUUCUUUUAUUGAUGAUUAUAGUCGUUAUUGUUGGGUUUAUCUUAUGAAAUGACGUUCUGACUUUCUUUCUAUUUAUCGUUCUUUUAGAGCACUUAUUAAUACUGAACAUUAUAUUGUAAUUAAGAGCCUGUUUGAGCCACAUUAUAAUGAGAAUGAGAAAUAGAGCCGUUAUGGGCCCCACACCAGAGAUAGAAAUUCCAAAAUGGUGGCUUGAUGUGAUGAAUAACGGUCAUAUUUUUCAUUUUAAUGAGGUAAAAAUGUGGCUCAAACAGGGGCUAAGUGUUUUAGAUGUGAUUUGGGUGGAGAAUAUAUUUCAACUGGUUUCUCUGAAUUACUUGCUCUGGAUGGCACAAUUCAUCAAACCUCAUGUACUAAUACCCCACAACAAAAUGGUGUUGCUAAACGAAAGCAUAGGCACAUUGUAGAAACUGCCCGUUCCCUUCUUUUGUCUGCCAAAGUUCCCAAUGAAUUUUGGGGGGAAGCAGUUCUUACUGCUGUUUCUUUAAUUAAUAAGAUUUCUUCUUCCCACAAUUCAGGAUUAUCACCUUUUGAAACAUUGUAUGGACAUCCUCCUGAUUACUCUUCAUUGAGAGUCUUUGGCUGUACUUGCUUUGUUCUUCGUCCUGAGGCUUAAUGUAAUAACUUGACAUCUUGCUUUGCUAUCUGUGUUUUCUUGAGUUAAGGGUAGGGGCAAAAGGGUUAUCGUUGUUUUGACCCCAUUAAUAAAAAAUUAUAUGCUUCUGGUCAUGUUGUAUUUCUUGAGCACAUUCCGUUCUUUUCUAUUCCUGAUAAUACUUAUGACUUGACUAAAACUAAUCUUAUUCGUAUCGAUCAAUUUUCUAAUGAUAUUGACAGACCGUCUUCCCAUACCCCAUGUACUGUUGAUUCUUCAUGCCCUACAGGUACACAUGCACCAGCUCAUGAUACUCCUCCUGAUUAUAUGGCUUCCCAAGCACCAUUUGAGAUUGUCGAUCCAGCUCGUGCUCCCCCUAUUCGUCGACAUCCUGAAUGUAUUCGUAAGUCCACUCAGUUACCUGAUUUUGCUUAUUCAUGUUAUUCUAAAUCAUUUUGUUGUUUUCUAACCUCUAUUCAUAAGCUAUCUGAACCCACUUCCUAUAAAGAAGCUAUUCUGGAUCCUCUUUGACAACAGGCUAUGGCUGAUGAACUUUCUGCUCUACAUAAGACAGACACUUGGGACUUAGUUGCAUUGCCUCCAGGUAAACAUGCUAUUGGUUCUCGUUGGGUUUAUAAGAUUAAAACCAAAUCUGAUGGUUCAGUUGAGCGUUACAAGGCUAGAUUGGUUGUUAAGGGUUUUACUCAACAGUAUGGUCUGGAUUAUGAAGAAACUUUUGCUCCUAUUGCCAAGAUGACCACUGUUCGUACACUUAUUGCCGUUGCAUCUGUUCGUCAAUGGAGUCUUUCUCAAUUGGAUGUCAAAAAUGCAUUUUUAAAUGGAAAUCUUCAAGAGGAGGUUUACAUGGUUCCUCCUCCUGGUCUUUCUCAUUCUCCUAGAUUUGUUUGCAAGCUCAAGAAGGCACUUUAUAGCCUCAAACAAGCAUCUCGUGCCUGGUUUGAGAAAUUUUCCACUGUUGUUACCUCUCUUGGCUUUACAUCCAGUCAUCAUGACUCAGCUCUAUUCUUUAGAAGCACUUCUGCUGGUUGCAUUCUAUUAUUAUUAUUAUAUGUUGAUGAUAUGAUUAUCACUAGUAAUGAUGAUGAUGGAAUUGCAAGUUUGAAAUCAGAAUUGGCUCGUCGUUUUGAAAUGAAGGACUUAGGUGCAUUAUCUUAUUUUUUGGGGAUCGAAGUUGCUUUUUCUCCUAGAGGUUAUCUUCUGUCUCAGUCCAAAUAUACUAUGGAUGUUAUUGAGCGUGCCCGUCUUACUGAUACUAAAACUGUUGAUACUCCUCUUGAGUCCAACACUCGAUAUUCAUCCUCUGACGGUGUACUAUUGCCUGAUCCCACUUUGUAUCGCACUAUUGUUGGAUGUCUGGUCUAUCUUAUCAUUACACGUCCCGAUAUUGCUUAUGCUGUUCACAUUGUUAGUCAGUUUGUUUCAGCUCCUACUACGGUUAACUGGGCAGCAGUUGCUCAUAUUUUGCGUUAUCUCCGUGGUACAUGUUUUCAAAGUCUUUUGUUUUCGUUGACCUCAUCUUUAGUACUCCGUGUCUACUCUGAUGCUGAUUGGGCCAGUAACCCCACUGAUCGCAAGUCCACUACUAGCUUUUGUAUAUUUUUGGGUGAUUCUCUUAUCUCUUGGAAAAGUAAGAAGCAGACUGUUGUUUCUCGUUCUUCUACGGAGGCAGAGUAUCGAGCUAUGGCAUCCACUACCACUGAGAUUGUGUGGUUGCGAUGGUUACUUGGAGACAUGGGUGUUCCUUAUUCUUCUCCAACCUCUAUGUAUUAUGAUAAUACCAGUGCUAUUCAGAUCUCUCACAACUCCACAUUCCAUGAACGUACAAAGCAUAUUGAGAUUAAUUGUCAUCAUUUGCAGACUGACACCAUUUCCCAACCUUUUGUUUCUUCAUCAUUGCAACUUGCUGACUUCUUCACUAAAUCUCAUCCAGUUCAUUGUUUUUGCUUCUUACAUGACAAACUCUUGCUGCUUCUUGCUUCAGCAUCAUGAGUUUGAGGGGGGAUGAUAAUAUAUUUAUUUGUUUAAUUUAUUUAAUUAAUAUUUCGUUUCCUUACUAACUUAGUUUCCUUACUAGCUUAGAUUUCUUUGUAAUAUAUUAAAUCAUUG